RNAcentral lists this ribosomal RNA (393 nucleotides) under uncultured bacterium. RNAcentral's name for it is "bacterial SSU rRNA". It matches the Rfam family "Bacterial small subunit ribosomal RNA", at positions 521 to 916 of the family's 1533-position model. The record is from RNAcentral.
UAAUACGGAGGGUGCAAGCGUUGUCCGGAUUUAUUGGGUUUAAAGGGUGCGUAGGCGGCCCGUUAAGUCCGUGGUGAAAUCCCAGGGCUCAACCCUGGAACUGCCAUGGAUACUGGCGGGCUUGAGUUCGGUCGAGGCGGGCGGAACUGGUGGUGUAGCGGUGAAAUGCAUAGAUACCACCAAGAACCCCGAUUGCGUAGGCAGCUCGCUAGGCCGAAACUGACGCUGAGGCACGAAAGCGUGGGGAGCGAACAGGAUUAGAUACCCUGGUAGUCCACGCCGUAAACGAUGAGUACUCGAUGUUGGCGAUACACAGCCAGCGUCCAAGCGAAAGCGUUAAGUACUCCACCUGGGGAGUACGCCCGCAAGGGUGAAACUUAAAUGAAUUGACGG